GCAAGUCGAACGGUAAGGCCCUUCGGGGUACACGAGUGGCGAACGGGUGAGUAACACGUGGGUAAUCUGCCCUGCACUUCGGGAUAAGCCUGGGAAACCGGGUCUAAUACCGGAUAUUCAGUUCCUGCCGCAUGGUGGGGGUUGGAAAGUUUUUCGGUGCAGGAUGAGCCCGCGGCCUAUCAGCUUGUUGGUGGGGUAAUGGCCUACCAAGGCGACGACGGGUAGCCGGCCUGAGAGGGUGAUCGGCCACACUGGGACUGAGACACGGCCCAGACUCCUACGGGAGGCAGCAGUGGGGAAUAUUGCACAAUGGGCGAAAGCCUGAUGCAGCGACGCCGCGUGGGGGAUGACGGUCUUCGGAUUGUAAACCCCUUUCAGUAGGGACGAAGCGCAAGUGACGGUACCUGCAGAAGAAGCACCGGCCAACUACGUGCCAGCAGCCGCGGUAAUACGUAGGGUGCGAGCGUUGUCCGGAAUUACUGGGCGUAAAGAGCUCGUAGGCGGUUUGUCGCGUCGUCCGUGAAAACUCGGAGCUUAACUCCGAGCUUGCGGGCGAUA
Molecule: ribosomal RNA, 558 nt
Filed under: Dietzia sp. CH149b_4T
Lineage: Bacteria; Bacillati; Actinomycetota; Actinomycetes; Mycobacteriales; Dietziaceae
Description: bacterial SSU rRNA
Rfam family: Bacterial small subunit ribosomal RNA
Source: RNAcentral